RNAcentral lists this unclassified non-coding RNA (253 nucleotides) under uncultured Flavobacteriaceae bacterium. RNAcentral describes it as "contains 16S-23S intergenic spacer region". It matches the Rfam family "Bacterial small subunit ribosomal RNA", at positions 524 to 776 of the family's 1533-position model. Lineage: Bacteria; Pseudomonadati; Bacteroidota; Flavobacteriia; Flavobacteriales; Flavobacteriaceae. The record is from RNAcentral.
UACGGAGGAGCCAAGUGUUAUCCGGAACCAUUGGGCUUAAAGGGUCCGUAGGCGGGACAAUAAGUCAGUGGUGAAAGUCUGCAGCUUAACUGUAGAACUGCCAUUGAUACUGUUGUCCUUGAGUAAUUAUGAAGUGGUUAGAAUAUGUAGUGUAGCGGUGAAAUGCAUAGAUAUUACAUAGAAUACCGAUUGCGAAGGCAGAUCACUAAUAAUAUAUUGACGCUGAUGGACGAAAGCGUAGGUAGCGAACAGG